Molecule: small RNA, 562 nt
Filed under: Pongo abelii (Sumatran orangutan)
Lineage: Eukaryota; Metazoa; Chordata; Mammalia; Primates; Hominidae
Description: retained intron
Source: RNAcentral
UUUUAUGUAGGUGUAUCUAACAAGAAUACCAGAAGAUAAUUAUCUUUCCAGUGCUGAGGAAAAUACUUUCUUAAAAAUGUCUUUAAUAUGUUUAUCUUUGUCCUUGAAAUUAGUCAUUAGGAAUGAAUUUCCUUUUCCUCUGCUCCUCAGUAUUCUGUUCUUAAUUUGGCUCUUGGCUAUACUGGAAGAAUAUAAUAUGCAUUGGUAGCCAUGCUGUACAAUUAAUGCAAACAAAUAAUUGCUAUCUUCUUCAAUUCAAGACUUCUCGUGGGAUUGAUGCUGAGAAGGUGAAUCUGGUUGUAAAUCUGGAUGUACCAUUGGAUUGGGAGACAUACAUGCAUCGGAUUGGGAGAGCUGGCCGUUUUGGUACAUUGGGGCUGACAGUGACCUACUGUUGCCGGGGAGAGGAAGAAAAUAUGAUGAUGAGAAUUGCCCAGAAAUGUAAUAUCAACCUUCUCCCUUUACCAGAUCCCAUUCCUUCUGGUCUGAUGGAAGAAUGUGUGGAUUGGGAUGUGGAGGUUAAAGCUGCUGUGCAUACAUAUGGCAUAGCAAGUGUACCUAA